UCUGAUGGUGUGCAUCCCAAU
This 21-nucleotide non-coding RNA is filed under the name Arabidopsis thaliana (thale cress). The record is from RNAcentral. Lineage: Eukaryota; Viridiplantae; Streptophyta; Magnoliopsida; Brassicales; Brassicaceae.